RNAcentral lists this ribosomal RNA (497 nucleotides) under uncultured bacterium. RNAcentral describes it as "partial 16S ribosomal RNA". It matches the Rfam family "Bacterial small subunit ribosomal RNA", at positions 28 to 507 of the family's 1533-position model. The record is from RNAcentral.
GAUGAACGCUGGCGGCGUGCCUAAUACAUGCAAGUCGAGCGAACAGAUGAGGAGCUUGCUCCUCUGACGUUAGCGGCGGACGGGUGAGUAACACGUGGAUAACCUACCUAUAAGACUGGGAUAACUUCGGGAAACCGGAGCUAAUACCGGAUAAUAUAUUGAACCGCAUGGUUCAAUAGUGAAAGACGGUUUUGCUGUCACUUAUAGAUGGAUCCGCGCCGCAUUAGCUAGUUGGUAAGGUAACGGCUUACCAAGGCAACGAUGCGUAGCCGACCUGAGAGGGUGAUCGGCCACACUGGAACUGAGACACGGUCCAGACUCCGACAGGAGGCAGCAGUAGGGAGUCUUCCGCAAUGGGCGAAAGCCUGACGGAGCAACGCCGCGGGAGUGAUGAAGGUCUUCGGAUCGUAAAACUCUGUUAUUAGGGAAGAACAAAUGUGUAAGUAACUAUGCACGUCUUGACGGUACCUAAUCAGAAAGCCACGGCUAACUACGUG